AACGAACGCUGGCGGCAUGCCUAACACAUGCAAGUCGAACGAAGGCUUCGGCCUUAGUGGCGCACGGGUGCGUAACGCGUGGGAAUCUGCCCUUUGGUUCGGAAUAACAGCUGGAAACGGCUGCUAAUACCGGAUGAUGACGAAAGUCCAAAGAUUUAUCGCCAGAGGAUGAGCCCGCGUUGGAUUAGGUAGUUGGUGGGGUAAAGGCCUACCAAGCCGACGAUCCAUAGCUGGUCUGAGAGGAUGAUCAGCCACACUGGGACUGAGACACGGCCCAGACUCCUGCGGGAGGCAGCAGUGGGGAAUAUUGGACAAUGGGCGCAAGCCUGAUCCAGCAAGGCCGCGUGGGCGAUGAAGGCCCUAGGGUUGUAAGGCUCUUUUACCCGGGAAGAUAAUGACUGUACCGGGAGAAUAAGCCCCGGCUAACUCCGUG
Molecule: ribosomal RNA, 433 nt
Filed under: uncultured bacterium
Lineage: Bacteria
Description: partial 16S ribosomal RNA
Rfam family: Bacterial small subunit ribosomal RNA
Source: RNAcentral